CACAACCAAAGAGAGAGAUCUCUCUACCAAAGAGAGAAUUGGAGAAGAAAAUUGAGGCAAGCUUGAAGAAAAUUGAAGUAGCUUGGAGUUGAAGCUUCAUCUUUAUCUUCUCCUUCCUUGGUCUAAGUGGAAGCUUGUGUUUGAGGUAAGCUUCAUGAACCUCUAAUGGUGGAUUGCUAGGGAAUAAUAUAUAUAUCCUAGAAAUGGAUUUAGAGGACUCCCUAGAUGCUAAGUAGAAGCUAUUUGCUUGAAUUAAAGGCUAAUAUGGCUAUUCUUGCAAUAGUAGCAUAUUAGAGCUCCAAAUUGGGGUUUUUGCUUGUGAGGGUUG
This is a long non-coding RNA of Ananas comosus (pineapple), 328 nucleotides long. RefSeq lists it as uncharacterized. The record is from RefSeq and is a predicted model, not a curated record. The transcript is spliced from 3 exons. Lineage: Eukaryota; Viridiplantae; Streptophyta; Magnoliopsida; Poales; Bromeliaceae.